RNAcentral lists this long non-coding RNA (570 nucleotides) under Cairina moschata (Muscovy duck). RNAcentral describes it as "domestica (muscovy Duck (domestic type)) lncRNA (ENSCMMG00000001878.1)". The record is from RNAcentral. Lineage: Eukaryota; Metazoa; Chordata; Aves; Anseriformes; Anatidae.
CAAAGACAUUUGAACAGAAUUUUCUUUAGCUUGUCAAAAAUGCCUUUUUCUCCCUUUUUCCUAACAUUAACAUUAAUUGGAGCUGGGCAAAAAUCCUCAUGUUAAUAUGAAUAAAAGUAACACUAGUACAUUACAUUUAAUUAGCAUCUAAACUAAAGAUCCUACGCCCCGCAAGCAAUUUCCACCCGGGAAAUGUUGUCUGACAAGCAAACACAGCCAGCUCUGAUGCAGCGUGGGGCAGCUUUUCCAGAUGAACAAGAAUAAAAGGGAGAGGAUGCAAAUCCAGCCACGGGGGCAACAACCAGGACAAAUCCAAGCAGCUGUCCUUUUUCUUCUAACGGGAAGACUUUUAAUUUAAAAACUGUCCAAGUUACAAAGCAUUAUUCUAUUUUAAAGAACAUGGACACUUGCAGCUCUGCUGAUGGAAGACGAAAGGGAGCUCCUGUGCGAGCGCACUGCAUCGUCUCCGGCGCAGGGCUGCGCGCUCCUGGGUACAGCGGAGGAGCGGAGGAGGGCACGCGGCGGUACAGAGGAGCUGUUGUUCUAAAUCUGAACUCAGAAGCAAUGUGA